Molecule: non-coding RNA, 113 nt
Organism: Acanthosepion pharaonis
Lineage: Eukaryota; Metazoa; Mollusca; Cephalopoda; Sepiida; Sepiidae
Source: the annotation of a GenBank genome assembly
UACAGCCACAUCUCGUAAAAAACAGGGGUUUCUGUACGAUCACCGAAGUUAAGCAACGUCGAGCCUGGUCAGUACUAAGAUACGUGACCGCUUGGAAAUACCAGGUGCUGUAA